This 253-nucleotide ribosomal RNA is filed under the name uncultured bacterium. Its description in RNAcentral is "partial 16S ribosomal RNA". It matches the Rfam family "Bacterial small subunit ribosomal RNA", at positions 524 to 776 of the family's 1533-position model. The record is from RNAcentral.
UACGGAGGAUGCAAGCGUUAUCCGGAUUUAUUGGGUUUAAAGGGUACGCAGGCGGAAAAUUAAGUCAGUGGUGAAAUCCUGCAGCUUAACUGUAGAACUGUCAUUGAUACUGGUUUUCUUGAAUACAGUUGAGGUAGGCGGAAUGUGUAAUGUAGCGGUGAAAUGCUUAGAUAUUACACAGAACACCGAUUGCGAAGGCAGCUUACUAAACUGUGAUUGACGCUGAGGUACGAAAGCGUGGGGAGCGAACAGG